GGGAUGCCAAGGGGGAGCACCAGAAGAGCAAUAGCUCCAGCAAAGAGGACUCGCGCGGUGUAGAUCGAGUUGGAGGAGGCGGAGUUGAGGAGGAGGAGGUAGAGGCCGGUGAGGAAGGCGAGGGCAUUGAGGAAGAUGAAGACGUGGGAGUCACGGCGAACGGCAUCCGGGGGGAAGGGUUGGAGUGUGGCAGCAGGCGGUGGGCGGAGGAUGGGGAUGAGGGCAGCGGUGGAGGCGAGGA
RNAcentral lists this unclassified non-coding RNA (241 nucleotides) under Hevea brasiliensis (rubber tree). The record is from RNAcentral. Lineage: Eukaryota; Viridiplantae; Streptophyta; Magnoliopsida; Malpighiales; Euphorbiaceae.